AAAACUUAGGGGGUGUUCUCUUUGUGUUUCAGUUUUGUGUUUUGAGUUUUGAAUUCAUUUUGAGUUUUGUGUUUUGAGUGUUUGUUUUGAAAUUGUUGAAAAUGCGUUCUUUUUGUUAGUUUCUCAAAACAAAAAAAAAUGAAUUUUUUUUUUAAAAACUUUGAGAAUCACCACAACACCACCUCAAAAAAAAAAUUAUUUUUAUUUUUUUUUUAAAUUUUGAGAAUCACCACACCACCUCCUCAAAAAAAAAGUAAUAAUAAAAUAAAAUAAAAAAAUAGAGGGUGUUUCCCGUGUUUUCAAUUUUUUCAAGUUUUACACUGAAAACGCCCAAAACGACAAAAAAGUCGUUUUGUGUUUUCUUCACAAAUUUUUUUUUCGUUUUCGAAAAUGGGAAAGAGA
Molecule: long non-coding RNA, 402 nt
Filed under: Olea europaea (common olive)
Lineage: Eukaryota; Viridiplantae; Streptophyta; Magnoliopsida; Lamiales; Oleaceae
Description: long non-coding RNA (OEUR_LNC002734)
Source: RNAcentral